UACGGAGGAUGCGAGCGUUAUCCGGAUUUAUUGGGUUUAAAGGGUGCGUAGGCGGACUGUCAAGUCAGCGGUAAAAUUGAGAGGCUCAACCUCUUCCCGCCGUUGAAACUGGUGGUCUUGAGUGGAUGAGAAGUACGCGGAAUUCGUGGUGUAGCGGUGAAAUGCAUAGAUAUCACGCAGAACUCCGAUUGCGAAGGCAGCGUACCGGCAUCCAACUGACGCUGAGGCACGAAAGCGUGGGGAUCAAACAGG
Molecule: ribosomal RNA, 252 nt
Filed under: uncultured bacterium
Lineage: Bacteria
Description: partial 16S ribosomal RNA
Rfam family: Bacterial small subunit ribosomal RNA
Source: RNAcentral